CCAAUCCUCAUCUCAUCUCUGUAUUUUAUUCUCUCUACCCACCUCCCUUCACCUCUUCUUCUCUUUUCAUCUCUUCAUCUCUGCGUUCUACCAAGCACCUUAGCCCUCAACACCGCAGGCCACAACACGUUAGGGGCACGACAACGCAGGCUGCAGCACCGCAGGUCAUAGCUCCACAGUGCCGCAAGCCGUAGCAACCCAACCGUAGCACAGCAAACCUUUCUUCAAUGUUCACCUAGCUAGCCACCUUUCUUCUUUUAUUUUUUCAUUUAUUUCCUGCCAUUUUUGUCAUUACUCUAGUCAUCUUGCUUGUUUGGAUGAUAGUGGUUUUGAGUUAAUGGAAAUUUUAUUCAUCAUUUUUGUAUUGAUGAAAAUAUUUUGUUGUUA
RNAcentral lists this unclassified non-coding RNA (387 nucleotides) under Hevea brasiliensis (rubber tree). The record is from RNAcentral. Lineage: Eukaryota; Viridiplantae; Streptophyta; Magnoliopsida; Malpighiales; Euphorbiaceae.